GUCUAGCACGUUCGGAACUGAGAGUAAAAGGACCAGGUUUCUGGGCACGAUAGCAUAGAUUCAAGGCAUAGUGUACAGACAAAGGUAAGGUAAGAUGUGAGUACAUUGGAGGUUAACCUAGGCAUUGAGUAAUGAUGAGAGAGAUAGUCUCUAGAGACGUUUAAACCAGGUGAUGUCAUCGCAUAUGUAGGAGGUGGAACAACAUGGUUGGUUAAGGCAUAUUGAGCAUGGCUAGAGGCUCUACAGUGAAAUAAGACAGUAAUCACUAACCAGGACAGUAAUGGACGAGGCAUAUUGAUAUUAGAGAGAGGCAUGCGUAGCCAAGUGAUCAUAUGGGUCCAGUGAGUGGUUGGGCUGACUGGGGACACAGCGAUUCAGACAGUUAGCAGGCCAAUGCUAACAAGCUAACAGUUAGUAGGCCGGGGCUAAACAAGCUAGCAGUUAGCAGACCGGGGCUAGCAAGCUAGCAGACCGGGGCUAGAAGGUUAUCAGAAGGGCCUUUGGGGGACGUCACGAUGGAGUCAACAGGUACACAUCCAAGAUGGCGUAGCAGUCAGACGUCUUUGUCCUCGUCUUGUCCCGUAAGCUGCAGCCAGCCACUGGCGAUGCCAGGAUUCCAAUAUUGGCUGCGCCAGAGAAAUGUGUGGCCAUGAUGAAACUUAUUUUUCUGUCAUUCGGGAGAAUGAUGGUCCACAAGACCACGACAGGCAGCGCAUCUCAGUAUCAGGAGAAGCCCAUAAUUCCAAUGGCAUCUGUUAAUGCCAAUACAUCCUAACAAAAUCCACAUAUGACUGCCCUGUUAAUGUGCCUUGCUGGACCUUGUGAACUUUCGAAAGUAGACCCAUAGGGCUAACUGAUCCACAUGUUUUCCUAAUAAGGCAUAUGCUCGAUGCGGUUAUUUUGGAAUUAAACAUGAACAUUUGAGUAAAGUUAUUAUCUGAGACAUAGUGCCACCUGCUGGGGAAAUGUGUCCUUCCUGUAAGGUCCAUAUCUAUCCCCCUGAGUGCUAACCUAUGGAAGCACAUUCCUGCCACCAAAAUGUCAAGAUAGUAGACCGUACUUACAGGUUAUGUAGCGUAUGUUUCUUCAUUUGUAACACUGUGUGGUUAUUUCAGAGAUGGUAUCAAGGAGUGAUGGGGGGGAAAUAGUUUUCCUGGGGACCAGAGUUUUUCCUGAUCUGGUAGGCUAACGUAACCAGGUUAAACUCCAGACCCUAGUUGUAGGGUCUGACAUAGUAAUAAAUCAGCUUUAUUCUUUUCUAAUCAGGUCAUAUGGUUUAAAAAGACAACUGUGAUUGGACAAUAGAAUUUACAGGGCUGAGAUGGUUGUAUGCAGGAUUGCAUCGGGUAGGCCUUUGGAUCUGUAAUUAAAAAUAUACUCAUACAGUAUGUCAUCACUAUUGUGUUGGUUGAUUCAUUCCAGUCAAUAAUUCUGGAUUAAAAAGGUCUAGGUAGCCAAGCCACCCGAAGUGUGAAUAUAAACCACAUUUGAUCACAUUCACAUUUUCUCAGAACAAAAAUAAAUGGGCCUAUAACUUAGUCCAUAAAAACAUAACGUUACGUUACCCCUGGCCCAGAUGGGAUCAGAGUAAACAGGCUAGGCUACCUGCAGCUGUGGUUGUUAUCAGUAGGCUACAGACUGAAGCACAGAUUAGGCCUAAUUGUGCAUGAGUUGACAAUUUGUUGUCCCGCCAAGAUCAAGUUAGUCAUGUGUUUGUCUAAAUCAAAAUAAGGAAUGCUGUAACAGACAAGGCCUACCAUCACUUGUUGUAAACAGGUAGCCUAGCGGUUAAGUGUUGGGCUAGUAACCUAUUGAAAUCAUAGAAAGAUCAGGUUGUGUCUCAACCGAUGACAGGCACAACACAAAAACCUCAGAUGAUGUAAAAGAGGGUCUAAGCUGCAAUAUAUACAAAUAUGAAUUGACGUUUAAUGUAAAAAAAAUUAUAUCAAUCUCAACCGUUUAUCUUUUCCACUGAUGAAGACAUGGAUGUCUCAUGGUAUGGUGGGGUACGCAAAAUAGGUGAGCUUUGAGCACCUUUAUCUCUUGAAUGUUUUGGCAUUCAGGUUCAAAAAGUCACUUUCUGACCACUUCUACAAUGAAAGGUUUCAUUCAAAUCAAAAGAGGUGCUGUCAAAAAGAGAAUUUAAAUGGAUUUGCCAAUGGAUGUGACAAAUAUUUUUUUUCGUUUUGUUUGUUUCACGUUUUCCAGCUUGGUGCUAACAAGUAAUGAAUUAUCAGAUGUGUCCGAUGGAGGUCAGGAUGUCCCUGACUCAGAGAGAAGCGUGGAGAGAAGCGUGGAGCUGAGGAGUCUCCUUGGAGCUCAGACAACUUCUCCCUGGAGGUCAUCAGCUGUCUUGACCUUCAGUAAUCCCAAUGAUAUGAAGUGGUUCAUCACUGAGAGCAAGAGCCACAAGAGUUUCCAGAAGAAGGGUUUGAUUGGCUGGGUGCUGGAGAGGGUUCAGAGUGUGAGAGUGGAGAAUUGGUUGUUGUUUCUCCAGAUUUGAAUUACAGUACAGGUACUGUACUGUAUCAUGCCUG
This 2537-nucleotide long non-coding RNA is filed under the name Salmo salar (Atlantic salmon). Its description in RNAcentral is "lncRNA (ENSSSAG00000116378.1)". The record is from RNAcentral. Lineage: Eukaryota; Metazoa; Chordata; Actinopteri; Salmoniformes; Salmonidae.